RNAcentral lists this ribosomal RNA (254 nucleotides) under uncultured prokaryote. Its description in RNAcentral is "partial 16S ribosomal RNA". It matches the Rfam family "Bacterial small subunit ribosomal RNA", at positions 525 to 777 of the family's 1533-position model. The record is from RNAcentral.
ACGUAGGGGGCUAGCGUUGUCCGGAUUCAUUGGGCGUAAAGAGCUCGUAGGCGGCUUGGCAAGUCAGGUGUGAAAUCUCUGGGCUCAACUCAGAGAGGCCACCUGAUACUGCUAUGGCUAGAGUCCGGUAGGGGACCAUGGAAUUCCUGGUGUAGCGGUGAAAUGCGCAGAUAUCAGGAGGAACACCAGUGGCGAAGGCGGUGGUCUGGGCCGGUACUGACGCUGAGGAGCGAAAGCGUGGGGAGCGAACAGGA